This 389-nucleotide long non-coding RNA is filed under the name Phoenix dactylifera (date palm). RNAcentral's name for it is "long non-coding RNA (PDAC_LNC011238)". The record is from RNAcentral. Lineage: Eukaryota; Viridiplantae; Streptophyta; Magnoliopsida; Arecales; Arecaceae.
UCCUCCACGCAUCUAUGGAUAAAGAUCAAUCCCCUGCAUCUAAUAGAUUCAUCUUCAUCUCAAAUGAUCUCAUCUCUUCUCAGCCUUCCGGAUUUUCUUCUCAGCCGAAUGCAGCCAUCCCGCUCCACGUCCUCCUCCACGUUAAUUCUCCCACGUCUAGCUUUGCGCGUCCAUAGAUAAAGAUCAAAGCCCCAGCUCAUCUCCUCCGUGUCCGUCCCAGCUCACCAUGUUCGUGAUCCUUCCGCAUCCAAAGCAUCUCCCAAGUAUUCUUCGUCUUCAUCCUCCCAGCAUCCUUAUCUUCUCUCGCGUCCGUUUUCUUCCUCAACUUCCCUUCAUCCCGUUCGCGUUCGAAUAUGCAGGGAUUCAACCAUCCACAUGUGAAAUUCUCU